This 1190-nucleotide long non-coding RNA is filed under the name Homo sapiens (human). Its description in RNAcentral is "long independently transcribed non-coding RNA 2963 (LINC02963)". The record is from RNAcentral. Lineage: Eukaryota; Metazoa; Chordata; Mammalia; Primates; Hominidae.
AGUCACUGCCUUUCUGUCUUUCCUCCUCUCUCCGCAGCCCGGGUCAACCAGCCGACGGUGGCGGAACGGCGGGCAGGUCGGCGGAGUUAGAUGGCCGCAAAGAACCCAGAGUUGAUCUCUACACCACGCCAUCACUGCCAGGGGUGAGGAAAUUCUGGCACCAGUGAUUCAGCACUGUUUUUUUCUCUCUCUUCAGUGCCUCUUUCAGUGAUAUGAAGUUAAAACCAGAUACCCAGCCGUGGGAUUGCUAGAUCAGACAGAGCCAAUUGAUGAUCAGCAGGGCCUGAAAAUGCCAAAACCCUGAAACAACUGACCUUCGAAAACUUCAACAUCCCUGAACGAAACGUCCAAACACAUUUAUCCACCAAUCAAAGACCCUUUAUAGUCUGUGCUCUGUGCAUCUCAGAAGUCUCUCUUUACCACACUGUCUAUAUACUGCAUGAGCCAUUAUAUGAAACUCCAAGGCAUCUUAUACUAUAUAUUCAACCAUGUAUCCCUAGUACCUAGUACAGUCCUGCCAUAUAGUUUGCUACUAAACAUUUGCAGAAUGAAGUAAUUAUCUUGUAUCCAGGUUCCAAGUUUUAAGGUGAUUUCUCACUAAAAAUAAAGCAUUACAGUUCGCAAGCAAUGUACUUCCUUUUUUACAAAUGAGAUCGACUUUAAUCUUAUCCCCUAAUAACAUUAUUUUCAUUUACUUCCAUCUAAAUAUACUGUCCUAAGAGAGCAAUAAGAAAGAGAGUUAAAGCUGGAGCUUGAAGAAUUGUACAUGGUCCACAGUGUGGCCUGACGUGCACUGCUCACCUGAGCUUCAUCUGUUAGGUAUGUCAGGGAAGAUAAGCAGGGCGAGAGUGACCCCAACAGAGGACUCCAGAUCUCUGGCUUCCCCAUCUGACAAGUACACUUCAGUGAACAAAGACUUCAGAGCUAGAUGACAAGAAUAGCCAAAGCAGUCCACCAGGGAAACCUGGGCCCAGUGUACAUCAAUGCAGAGCAUCAAGCACAGCAUAACAGGUGUUAUAGUUGCCUAUUCCUGUUCAGAGAUAACUGCAUCCCACACACUGUAAAAUGAGGAAAUGCAGAGAAGCAGAUGUAACUGAAGGAGACAGCAGGAGCAACAAGGAGGGACAACCAUGACCUAGGAGGGCACCAUGCCAGAGACGCCUGGACCCCAUGCUAGGCUCAGUGCCCAU